UACAGAGGUGGCAAGCGUUGUUCGGAAUUACUGGGCGUAAAGGGCGCGUAGGCGGUCUUGCAAGUCCCGUGUGAAAUCCCUCGGCUCAACUGAGGAACUGCACGGGAAACUGCUUGGCUUGAGUUCGGGAGAGGGAAGCGGAAUUCCUGGUGUAGCGGUGAAAUGCGUAGAGAUCAGGAAGAACACCGGUGGCGAAGGCGCUCUGCUAGGCCGCAACUGACACUGAGGGACGAAAGCUAGGGGAGCGAAUGGG
This 253-nucleotide ribosomal RNA is filed under the name uncultured bacterium. RNAcentral's name for it is "partial 16S ribosomal RNA". It matches the Rfam family "Bacterial small subunit ribosomal RNA", at positions 524 to 776 of the family's 1533-position model. The record is from RNAcentral.